UCCUGAUGGUUCUUCGUUUCUGGUUUUUCUCGCAGUGGAUGUACUAUUGAAUGCAUCGUAUGAGAAGCAUUUUUCUGUUAUCUAUAUCUACGUUUCAUUUGUUACAUCAAUAUUUUAUUUCGCCAUUUCUUAUAUCAAGGUGAUAAAUAUUUGAUUUAUUUUUCGGGAUCAAAAACCGGAUGACCGGUUUUUGGUAAUAGCUGAAAAUUUUGGACUUCUUCUCUCUUUGGUUACACUUCAAAAUUACGGAAGAAUAAUUUUUGGAAACACUUGACAAGCACAAUUUUGGCAAUCCUUAGAUCCUGACAUCGAUUUCUACUCAACACCUGAUUUUGGAAAUCACGAUUUUGGUACCAAUUCUGAAUUGGGACAACUGAACCUGGUGGAAGGGUUCAUCCCCAGGAAGGCCUUCACUGGACUGAAGUUAAGUUUUCAAAAGGAAAAUGACGACGAGAGUAUUUUAUAGUAUUAGAAAUUUGUAUUUUCGAAGUUCAAUUAUGCUUGUAAUUUUUUAUUUCCUUUAGUUAUUUUCAAGAUCCUUUGAUCAAUUCUUGCUUAGCACCGAAAUAAAAUAAUCUCCAUCUGGGAGGAUAAUAACAGAAGUACCACCCUUAAUUAUAGGGGUAGGAUACAAACCGGCUCCCAACGUGAUGCCUUUCUGAUACGUAUAAGCCUGAAUUGAUCAUAUGGUUCUUUGAAUUUUUUUUGUAAAAGAUUAGGAAGUGGAAAUUUUCUCAACUUUCUUGAUCAUUUCAAUUUCUCUAUUCAUUUAUUUUUAUCGUUCUUUAUCGGCCUGAUUUGAUGAUUUCACUGCAGCCGCUGUCAGACAUUUUGGCGCCCCAGACAAAAAAAUUUCGCCGCCCUGCUUUGCCUAAUUUAUCUGAAUUUUCUUUGAAGAAACAUUUCUGUGUCAAAAAUGAUGUCUUGUUUUAUUAACUGAAUUUGUGCCCCUACAAUUCAGCACCCCGGCAAAAUGUCCGAUAUGACCAUCCUGGCGCCGGCCCUGAAUGCAUCUUUCUUGAUUUCUUUCGUUUCAUAGAAUAGUUAUUUACGUAACAAGUCCGGAAAAUAGGGUUUUUUUGGACGAAUAGACAAAGUCUGUGAGUCUGUGUUUCGAGCGUGUUGCGUACAAUAUUUUUUCGGCAACCGUGUAGAAUAACAAAUCAAUGGGACGACACAUUUCUUUUAUAUACAUUUUAAUUCUUAUUCAAACAGAACAGAAAAUACAACAUAUGAACUAUCAGCCGUUUUCUCGGUUGCUAUGGUAAUGAUCGACAGCAUUUAUUAAAAAUAUACCUACCAAGAUUUUUAUAUUCACAAUGACACAAACGACGUGAUUUUUUUCCCGGCCUAGUCCGGGAAGUACGUACUUUCCGGACUAGGCCGGGAAAUGAGCACUUCCCGUACGAUUGCCGAAAAAAUACUUUUAAUAACUGCUUCGAGUGCGUAUAUUUUUUUUCUCUUUAUAUAACUCACAACAAAAUGAAUAAAUUCAAUCCUAAUUAUUCGAACAGCAUUGAAUUCUCAUAUGAGAUCUGUAUUCGGGGUAUACAUAUAGAUCCACCAUCAACUGUGGAAGAAAAACUGAAAAUUUAACGUGGUCUUUUAGCACAGAGAGAAUAAGUUUCUUCGAAAUUAGUGAUAAAUACAAAUUUGCUCAAAAUAUCGCUACAAUUUUCAGUACCAGUUGAUGGAUCGUCGAAUGCUCUUUGCGAAACACAAACUGAUGAUUUGAAAUUAUUUUCUUUCCUUCUACGAAAUCUGUUAGUCUUCUGUUAAUUAAUUUCUCUAUGACUUUACUAAUUACCGUUAAUAAUCGGCUUAUGUAUAGAUAGUUUUUUGUCUUUUCUUUUUUUCCAAAUUGAGAUUGUAAGAUUGUAUCAGCCGUUUUCCAUUUGUUUGGAUAAUAUCCUGUUUUUAGUAUGAAUCUGGCUAUUUGAAAGAUAUCAUCCCGUGCUUCUCCUGGUUAGUUUUUAAUUGCUUGAUUCUGUAUUCCGUCUAUUCCAGGUGCUUUUCUAUUUUUCAAUGUUCUGAUAAUUUCUUCAAUUUCUUCUUUAGUCACUCCUUUUAGAUCUUCUUUCAUUUCAUUGUUAUCAUUUUCUGUUAUAAUAACAAUAACAAUAAUAUUUAUUCACCAUCAAAUUUUACAUGGUUCGUCAAAAUAACAAUAAUAUUAAAAUUUGAAACAUAAAAGGCACCCUUCACCAAUACCUCCUUAAUUUUGCUGUCGAAAUUUUUUUUGGUAAAUUCUUUAUUUCAUUUGGAAGUCUAUUGAAAAGCUUUAUUCCCCAAUAACUCGAAAUAUUUUGAGUGUUCUUUUUCCUGUGGAGUGGAGUGAGAAGAUCGUUUUUGCAUCGAGUGUUGAACCUGUGGUAAGUUCCAAUGUACCAAUGUAAAGCCAAGCUUUUCUACUUGCUCCUUUGAAAACACCCUCACUGUCUACUUUUGCUGUUCCUUGUGUAAUUCUUUUGUUUUCCCUUUUCUUCCUUAUUUGUUGACUCUCCGUUUGGUUUAUAUUUCCGAAACUUUUCUUUCCGGCCACUGGCGCCACAGGUCGCAACAACAACUCGUCGGUAGUUCCAGAAUGAGAUGUCGAUUUUGAUCUACCGCGGGAAUUGUAUUUGAUAUUGCUGUCAUCCGAAUUUUGUGAAAUAUCCUUUGUUUUUUUAUUGUCUUUUUUAACCUCAGUUUUUGAUGUUUUCAAUUCUUGACUCACUUUAUUUGUACUUGCACAUUUGAAGAAAUUUAUCAAUAAUCAGUUCUUUUUUCCAUUUGAUAUUGAAUCAUUUCCAUUAAAUUGAUGCUCUUUUUCAGGUUCUGUUUUUCAAUUUCAAGUUUUUGACAGUAUUUAUUCUUGUCACCUCCCUUUACAGAUUCUUUUAUAUUUUUCGCUAUACACUCCAAAUCAAGUGCUGCAUUCAAAGCACCGUUUCUUCAGUUCUUUUUCCCAUUUGAAACUGUAUCAUUUCUAUUGAAUUGAUGCUCUUUUUCAGGUUCUGUUUUUCAAUUUCAUGUUUUUGACAGUAUUUAUUCUUGUCACCUUCCUUUACAGAUUCUUUUAUAUUUUUCGCUAUACACUCCAAAUCAAGUGCUGCAUUCAAAGCACCGUUUCUUCAGUUCUUUUUCCCAUUUGAAACUGUAUCAUUUCUAUUAAAUUGAUGCUCUUUUUCAGGUUCUGUUUUUCAAUUUCAUGUUUUUGACAGUAUUUAUUCUUGUCACCUUCCUUUACAGAUUCUUCUAUAUUUUCCGCUAUACACUCCAAAUCAAGUGCUGCAUUCAAAGCACCGUUUCUUCAGUUCUUUUUUCCAUUUGAAACUGAAUCAUUUCUAUUGAAUUGAUGCUCUUUUUCAGGUUCUGUUUUUCAAUUUCAAGUUUUUGACAGUAUUUAUUCUUGUCGCCUUCCUUUACAGAUUCUUCUACAUUUUCCGCUAUACACUCCAAAUCAAGUGCUGCAUUCAAAGCACCGUUUCUUCAGUUCUUUUUUCCAUUUGAUACUGAAUCAUUUCCAUUAAAUUGAUGCUUUUUUUCAGGUUCUGUUUUUCAAUUAAAAGUUUUUGACAAUAUUUAUUCUUGUCACCUUCCUUUACAGAUUCUUCUAUAUUUUCCGCUAUACACUCCAAAUCAAGUGCUGCAUUCAAAGCACCGUUUGUUUUGACACUAUUCGGCACUUUUUUAUUGAUUAUAUAUUCAAUGAGCUCAUCCUUUUUCCACUUAUUUAGCUCAUUCAUCAACUGCGCUUUUGACAUCGCCAUGUUCAAACUAUUCAAUAAUAUUUUCAUGUAUUUCAACUGAUUGGUUAAAUUGGUCGUCGUUAAUUUUUGGAUUCGGCUUAAAUUGAUGUUCCAGUGAUUCUACAAAUAUUUCUGUCUUUUCUUCAUAUCUACCUGAUUUCUUUCUUCAGUUUUGGUAUCUUCGCUUUCGUUUUCUUUCCGGUUAAUGCUGUCGAUAUUUUCCACAGUUAUUAGUUUUCCGUAUCUAGUUCUAUUAGCUUUUUCCCAGUCUUCCUGGAACACUUGUCUGACUCUGUUUUUCACUUCGUUGGUCAAUUUAUUCAGUACAAUUUUUCGUCUUCGGCUUUUUCUUUUCUCCUAACAAUAUUCUCACGUCAGUACUAGGACCAAAAGAUCCCACUCUAUCCACGAAAUAGGUACGAUGAACGUUUUAGACAUAGCAUUAAUGCAAAAUCAAUCAGCAAAUUAUGAAUUAGAAACCAAGAUGAUUUCUCAUCAGAUCCCAGCCCAGUGAUCUUGACAUAAGAAAUUGGAAUAGACAGAUUUCCCACGGACAGAAAAUCAUUUAAUUGAUUAAAAUUCAAAGAAAUCUUUCAAGCAAAAAGUGUGAUGAAAGAAAACAGGGAACAGAGACGAAGCAAUCAAGGACCUAGAAAAAAGAAUAAUCGAAGCUACAGCACAGUCCAGUAAGAUCAAAAGAGUACCGAAAAAGAGUUCGCUACCUUUAUAACAUAUUACAUUUGUCUGCUAUAGCUCUCAGUUUAUUUCGUUCAUUCAAACAACCUUGAAGACCCCAUAACCGUAUACAGGAUGUUCCUUCAAUUACGCGCUGAAUAACUGUUUCUUUUCGCACCAUUUUAUUUUUCCUUGUUUUUAUUUUGUAUUUCUCCUUUCUUUCUUUUUUAUUACUUCCUUCUCUUCUCGUUCUUCAUUCUCUUUCAUUUUAUUUUUCUUUCUCAUUUCUUUCUUUCAUUUUGAUUGCUCCAACUUUGAAGAACGAUUUACGUAUUUGAUAAGAUCAUAACCCGGUAUACUUGAUUUUAAUUUCACGAAUUCUUGUGGUGAAAAAAAUUUCAGGAUUUCCCUCAUACAUUCAAAAUCGAGCAUUACGGCUUCAUCAAAUUGGAGGGAUGCAAAAUCUCCUGUGUCGAGAAAUAGUUUCAACCCUAAUUUAUAUUUGUUUAUUACAUCGUGACCGUAAAUUGGGUACUUACUUUCGUCUAUUAAAUACAUAACUACCCUCAAGAGUCAGCUUUUACGAAGUUGGGAAUUUCUUCUUCUGCUCGAUAGGAGAACUUUUGUACAACUGAAGAAUCUCUUUCCAAUUUUAUAUUCACGCAUUGUGACCGAGUCCAACCAUUGCAAUUCGUUUCUACAUUGUUUUUCGAACUGGACAUCCGGCAAUAAAUGACUAUAUCGAAAUAGACCCUCAAAUUCAAGUAGAAUCAAAUGUUUCAGUAUUCCUUGUCGUAAAACCGAAGAAUGUGUCAAUAAGACAUCAAGAAAAGUCCUAUUUCGUUCGUUUAAACCUUUCGCAUAAAUUCCGUUUCUCAGGAAUAAACAAUGAAAUGGUAAGUAAUGGUCACAUUGUCGAGUAUGGAACAUCAAUGUGUGCAGAACUGUCUUUGAACUCUAUUGCUCCUCAUAUCCGUCGCUUCUUACUCAUGAAGAAUCUCAGGGUGAAUCGCGCUAUAUCUAUCUAUCUAUCUAUUUGUGACAAAGACUGUACUCUAUAUUAUAAUUCUUGUUAGGAUCUAAAUUGGGAAUGUCUUUGUAUUUCAAAUAGUACACAAAUUGACUGAGCAACCGUUUAUCUGAAAUCAAAUGAACAAAAUAAUUAGAUAUAAUAAAACACUACGAAUUAAAACACAAUAAUAAUAAUAAUAAACAAACUUUAUUUUGAGGAAACACUCAACAAUCAAACAUUUGAACAAAAUAGUGUCAGCACGAAAGAAAUAACAAUAAUUUUAAAUUUACUCAAGUUGGGAAUUGACAAUUGAGAAAACUACUGACAUCAUAAGAUUCCAGAUUCAAUAACAUUUCGUGAACUGAUUUUUUGAAUUGUUUAAGGUUGUUUAUUCUCUUUAUAAAAUUCGGGAGUUUGUUAUAAACAAGACAUAUGUAUAAAGGACCCUUUUCAGAUAUUAUAAGCCUAUGUAUGGGAUAUGUAUAUUCCAAUGAUCUUGUUGGAUAAAUAUUUUUUGUUUGAAGUUUUCGAAAAUAUCCCUAUUUUUGAAAAAGAACAAUAAUAAUUCUUGAAUAUUUAUUACAAAGACCGUUAGAAUUAUUAAUUCCAUUGCUGGAAUACCAUAUGCAUUCAACUUUAGAAAAAGAAGCUCAUGAUUUAAGCAGUCGAAUGUUUU
This is a long non-coding RNA of Harmonia axyridis, 6094 nucleotides long. RefSeq lists it as uncharacterized. The transcript has 2 exons. The record is from RefSeq and is a predicted model, not a curated record. NCBI's taxonomy places the organism in Eukaryota, Metazoa, Arthropoda, Insecta, Coleoptera, Coccinellidae.